This is a long non-coding RNA of Tympanuchus pallidicinctus (lesser prairie-chicken), 897 nucleotides long. RefSeq lists it as uncharacterized. The record is from RefSeq and is a predicted model, not a curated record. NCBI's taxonomy places the organism in Eukaryota, Metazoa, Chordata, Aves, Galliformes, Phasianidae. The transcript is spliced from 2 exons.
CUGGGGAAGGGCUUCUGGUUGGAAAUCCCUUCCUUGUGGAGUUUUCCUGUCAGCUGAGAUCUUCAGAGACAGUGUCAGUUGUCAACUACAGACAGGAGAACCUGUUACCUUUCACUGUAAACAUUAACUGUAAGACUGGUGACUGCUAACAACCCUUCCCACACAAAACCUAAACGGCUCAGAGCCUUUAGAGAGCAGACAGGUCUGACGAGAACAACCGGGUUUUGAUUUGCUGUUGUUUCUUUUGUUGUUUUUUCCUGAUCUGAGCAGGGAUCUUUGGUUUCCUCUGCAGGACACCAGCAUCCCACCAAACCUUGACGCUGGUGUUUGGGCCACGCCAGCCUUUGUUACAGCUGUUUUCCAGAUGGGCACACACAGGCUAUGCCAGACACAGCCCCAGUAACGCAGAGCCCUGAGCUGCUCUAAACAAAAGGGUGGCUGCUAAACCUGCUAACACAAACUAAAACCAAGCAGACAAGGAGCGCAGCACACACACACACACACACACACACACCCUGCACUGCAGGUUCUCCUCUCUCCCCUUGGCCUGAUGCACGCACAGCACUAACAGCAGCGUCUCGGGCUCUAUUUUAAGCUUCUAUAGUAACAGAUGAGAUGCGAGGGACAGCACUGGGAAAGUACAUGCAUUGGUGCCAGAGGGAAAAGCGGGGACAAAAGGCAGUAGGUGUGGGGCUGGGACACAGUAGACCCCCUCUGGGGAUCAGAGGGCCUCAGUGCUCCUGAAUGAGCAGCUCCCUUAGAGCCGGCACUGAAGUCUAUGUGUGCUCAGAUACCACUCUCAUCGUUAUUCAGAAAGAAACAAAAUAAUACAUGCACAAAGAGAGGAACUGUGUGCUGAGCUCUCCCAGUUCUGCGACGCUCUGAUGCCGUGACUGC